RNAcentral lists this long non-coding RNA (1197 nucleotides) under Numida meleagris (helmeted guineafowl). Its description in RNAcentral is "lncRNA (ENSNMEG00000003462.1)". The record is from RNAcentral. Lineage: Eukaryota; Metazoa; Chordata; Aves; Galliformes; Numididae.
UGGGAACAUAGACGAGUCUGUAAAAUAUGGCCCUCAUUUAGUCGCCCAAAUGACAGCUGCUCUAUUUUAAAAACUUUACCUCAACUGUAAUGGUUGGGAGUCUGAAAAAAUCUUAAUUUUGCUUUUGAAUCACUUUAGACUGCAUCCCUAUUUUACUUAUGGGAGUCAUUUACUGACUUCUACUUGAUUUCUUCUGUCAGUCUUAUGCUGAAGGGGUUCCUGAGCACGAACUGCAGAUAGGCUGGGGCAGAGUUUUGUUCAUGUAUGAACUGAUUUCUCCUGCUAUUGCUUGAAAUUAUGACAGCAAACUUCCUCAUCUCAAUGAGACUUUUUUUUCUGUUUUUUCUUUUCUUUUGCGGAGUGGUCUGAAAUGAUUAGAUCCAUGGGAAUGGAAGCUUUCAGAAGGAGGAAGGUGCAGUGUGGUAACUUCUCCCUUGCUUGAGUGGGGAAGUUGGAGAGUGGCAGACAUGUUGGCAUGGGAGACUGAGAAAACUGCAGUAAAAAUAGCAGCUUAGGACCCUCGCUCCAAUAAAUCUAUGGCUGGGUUUGAACCAACUGGAGUUAAAGGCAGGAAUAAGUUCUGCAUUCACAUCCUGCAUCAGAGGCAUUCCUGCAUCGAGAGUGAAGCUGGACAAUGCAGUUUCUUGUGCCUGGACAAGGAGAGGCAGGAGAUGAGCAGGUGAGAAAGAGAGUCUUUGAAUUGAUAAGGCUGGGCCUUGAAGCUCAGCAGGCUCAGCAGCCCUGAAAUGCUAAAAUUGUAGUAUGACUUGAUCAACAGCAAAAAGAAUCUGAAAGAGCAGAAAGGAGUCCACUUAACCUGGAUCAUUUCAGCACUCUUGUUUACAGCAGGGUCUGCAGUGAGGACAGAGAAAUACUGACAUAACCGAGAGCUAUGAAAUGUAGUGGAUUUGGAGAUCUGCUUUGCUGCAGAGGCAUGGUUUGUAGAUUCACACUGAGCAUUGUGGUCAUGGCAGCAGGGAAGACUGCAGUUUCCAAAGCUGUGUGCUUUUGAAAACAUGUAGGGGAGCUAAGGUAGCAUGGAUAGCAUGCAGCUAUUCCUGCAGCAUUCCAUGACCUGAAAUUCUGCACUGAGAAACAGAAAUGUGCAUGAGGUCCUUCCUGAUGGGGAACACCCAGCUCUGCUGACAGGUCCCACUGACUUCAGUUCUUAAGGUUAAGCACAUAGUAUAAUCUUUC